Molecule: unclassified non-coding RNA, 408 nt
Filed under: Hevea brasiliensis (rubber tree)
Lineage: Eukaryota; Viridiplantae; Streptophyta; Magnoliopsida; Malpighiales; Euphorbiaceae
Source: RNAcentral
AUCGGGGAGAAGCUCGAGGCAGCAGAAUUCGAUGAGUGGAUCCGGGAGGUCGAGAUCGGGGAGGAUGGGAAUAUUAGUUAUGAGGAUUUCAUCGCUCGCAUGGUCGCCAAAUGAUUCUGAAUCUGAGCACGAUAUGCACUGCUUUCCCCGAAUUCCACCCUCUGUCCGAAUUCGAUGAAGGGAAGAGGAGCUGCAGGCGUAGGUUGGCCGGUCACAAUCGGCGAAGGCGGAAGAGCCAGCAUGAUGAUGUUUCGUCGCGGUUGGCAGCCCCAGGAAGUCAAGAAAAUGCCUCCAAUGGAAACUUGGAUGUCACUAAUUUGUUGGCUCUUUUGGCACACUUGCAAGGUAAAAAUGUUGAGAAACUGGCUACUAUGCCUGAUAAAGAUCAUCUCACCCAAAUUCUUAGUA